This is a non-coding RNA of Vicugna pacos (alpaca), 262 nucleotides long. The record is from RefSeq and is a predicted model, not a curated record. Lineage: Eukaryota; Metazoa; Chordata; Mammalia; Artiodactyla; Camelidae.
CAGAAGCAAAGUUGUGCUGUGGGGCAGUACUGGCUGUGAGGGGGCCUGAGAAAUCCUUCUGGGGUGGUGGGAAGACUUGGUGUCUAGAUAGGGGUGGUUGUGUUCACUCAAUCAAGAAAUACUGAGCACAUGGGGCCUGCCAGUCUCAAGGGUCAGAGAGACAGUCCUGCCCUGUGUGGAGCUGACCCUGACUCCUCACAGACCCAGAGGGGCUGCGUUUCCAACCACACUGCUGGGCCUUCCUGGUCCCACAGCCGGGCUU